Molecule: long non-coding RNA, 549 nt
Filed under: Setaria viridis
Lineage: Eukaryota; Viridiplantae; Streptophyta; Magnoliopsida; Poales; Poaceae
Description: long non-coding RNA (SVIR_LNC005680)
Source: RNAcentral
GAAAAGGAGACAGCCGCGGGAAGAAGAAGAAGGAGAGAGAAAAGAGGAAAGGAGAAGGAAGAAGGAAAAGCGAAAGAAAAAGAAGGAAGAAAGAGAGGGGAAGAGGGGAGAAGGGAAAAGAGGGAGACGGCGGGAAUUGCGGGAUUUAAUGGUACGCGUGAUGGAGUUGAUAGGCACGCGGCGAAAAUUACGGGGAACGGAUAAAGAGGGUCGAUGACAUUGGGGCCGGAACGGCGAAUCCGAUGGAAAGGAAGAGAUUUGACGAGGCUCAGCGGUCGGAAAAUUUUGGAAUGCAUUUUUAACGAGUGGUUUAAUUUGGUAGAUUUUUACGGGCGUUACAAACCUACCCCACUUAAAUUGAAUCUCGUCCUCGAGAUUCGGCUGAAUUCUGAAAAGAUGGGGAAACUCCUUCUUUAACGCAUCCUCGUGUUCCCAAGUAGCUUCUUCCUCACCAUGCCUACUCCAUUGGACUCUGCAAAUUCGCACUACUGAAUUCCUUUUCCUUCUGGUGACGGUGUCCAGAAUCUUGAUGGGCACCUCCUGAUAUCG